AGUGAACGCUGGCGGUAGGCCUAACACAUGCAAGUCGAACGGCAGCACAGUAAGAGCUUGCUCUUACGGGUGGCGAGUGGCGGACGGGUGAGGAAUACAUCGGAAUCUACUUUUUCGUGGGGGAUAACGUAGGGAAACUUACGCUAAUACCGCAUACGACCUACGGGUGAAAGCAGGGGAUCUUCGGACCUUGCGCGAUUGAAUGAGCCGAUGUCGGAUUAGCUAGUUGGCGGGGUAAAGGCCCACCAAGGCGACGAUCCGUAGCUGGUCUGAGAGGAUGAUCAGCCACACUGGAACUGAGACACGGUCCAGGCUCCUACGGGAGGCAGCAGUGGGGAAUAUUGGACAAUGGGCGCAAGCCUGAUCCAGCCAUACCGCGUGUGUGAAAAAGGCCUUCGGUUUGUAAAGCCCUUUUGUUGGGAAAGAAAAGCAGCAGGUUAAUACCCCGCUGUUCUGACGGUACCCAAAGAAUAAGCACCGGCUAACUUCGUG
This 492-nucleotide ribosomal RNA is filed under the name uncultured bacterium. Its description in RNAcentral is "partial 16S ribosomal RNA". It matches the Rfam family "Bacterial small subunit ribosomal RNA", at positions 29 to 507 of the family's 1533-position model. The record is from RNAcentral.